RNAcentral lists this ribosomal RNA (498 nucleotides) under uncultured bacterium. RNAcentral's name for it is "partial 16S ribosomal RNA". It matches the Rfam family "Bacterial small subunit ribosomal RNA", at positions 30 to 523 of the family's 1533-position model. The record is from RNAcentral.
AUUGAACGCUGGCGGCAUGCCUUACACAUGCAAGUCGAACGGUAACAGGUCUUCGGAUGCUGACGAGUGGCGAACGGGUGAGUAAUACAUCGGAACGUGCCCGAUCGUGGGGGAUAACUACUCGAAAGAGUAGCUAAUACCGCAUACGAUCUACGGAUGAAAGCGGGGGAUCUUCGGACCUCGUGCGGACGGAGCGGCCGAUGGCAGAUUAGGUAGUUGGUGGGAUAAAAGCUUACCAAGCCGACGAUCUGUAGCUGGUCUGAGAGGACGACCAGCCACACUGGGACUGAGACACGGCCCAGACUCCUACGGGAGGCAGCAGUGGGGAAUUUUGGACAAUGGGCGAAAGCCUGAUCCAGCAAUGCCGCGUGCAGGAUGAAGGCCUUCGGGUUGUAAACUGCUUUUGUACGGAACGAAAAGACUCCUUCUAAUACAGGGGGUCCAUGACGGUACCGUAAGAAUAAGCACCGGCUAACUACGUGCCAGCAGCCGCAGUAA